RNAcentral lists this ribosomal RNA (253 nucleotides) under uncultured bacterium. RNAcentral's name for it is "partial 16S ribosomal RNA". It matches the Rfam family "Bacterial small subunit ribosomal RNA", at positions 524 to 776 of the family's 1533-position model. The record is from RNAcentral.
UACAGAGGGUGCGAGCGUUAAUCGGAAUUACUGGGCGUAAAGCGUGCGUAGACGGUUAUCUAAGUCGGAUGUGAAAGCCCCGGGCUCAACCUGGGAAUUGCAUCUGUGACUGCAUCGCUAGAGUACGGUAGAGGGGGAUGGAAUUCCGCGUGUAGCAGUGAAAUGCGUAGAUAUGCGGAGGAACACCGAUGGCGAAGGCAAUCCCCUGGGCCUGCACUGACGCUCAUGCACGAAAGCGUGGGGAGCAAACAGG